This 710-nucleotide ribosomal RNA is filed under the name Begonia umbraculifolia. RNAcentral describes it as "eukaryotic LSU rRNA". The stretch from base 255 to 410 matches the Rfam family "5.8S ribosomal RNA". Lineage: Eukaryota; Viridiplantae; Streptophyta; Magnoliopsida; Cucurbitales; Begoniaceae. The record is from RNAcentral.
UUGUCGAUUCCUGCAAAAUGCAGAACAACCCGCGAACCAGUUUAUUAAAACGUCCCGCUUCGCGCGGGAGCGGUGCGGGGCGCGUCGGAGCUGCGGACCCUGCGCUCGCGCGUUGUCUACGUGCCUCGCGUGCCUCGCGCCCCCUAAACGAACCCCGGCGCGAGUUGCGUCAAGGAAUCUCCAACUUAGAACGCGGCUCCCCUGCCCCGAUUUCGUCGGGACCCGGGGGUUCCUGCGAACUGAACACAUCAAACGACUCUCGACAACGGAUAUCUCGGCUCUCGCAUCGAUGAAGAACGUAGUGAAAUGCGAUACUUGGUGUGAAUUGCAGAAUCCCGUGAACCAUCGAGUUUUUGAACGCAAGUUGCGCCCGAAGCCUUCUGGCCGAGGGCACGUCUGCCUGGGCGUCACGCAUCGCAGCCCCCCGCACCACAAAACAAGAAAGAAAAACAAUGCCUCGUCGCUGGGGUUUUGUUGGCCUUUGGGUGGGUGGUCGGGGAGGCGACGUUGGCCUCCCGUGCGGGUAACCUCGCGGUUGGUCUAAAUUUGAGUCCUCGGCGUCUUGCGGCGCGAUCGACGGUGGUUGCAAUAGGCCCUCGGCGAAUCACGUUGCGCCUGCAAGACGCGCGAUCGGGAACUCCUGGUCGACCCUAAUGCGUGGACUCGUCGGUGGACGACACCAGCGAGAAGACGUUAUCGAAGCGACCCCA